GGGUUGUGAGGUUAAGCGACUAAGCGUACACGGUGGAUGCCCUGGCAGUCAGAGGCGAUGAAGGACGUGCUAAUCUGCGAUAAGCGUCGGUGAGGUGAUAUGAACCGUUAUAACCGGCGAUUUCCGAAUGGGGAAACCCAGUGUGUUUCGACACACUAUCAUUAACUGAAUCCAUAGGUUAAUGAGGCGAACCGGGGGAACUGAAACAUCUAAGUACCCCGAGGAAAAGAAAUCAACCGAGAUUCCCCCAGUAGCGGCGAGCGAACGGGGAGGAGCCCAGAGCCUGAAUCAGUGUGUGUGUUAGUGGAAGCGUCUGGAAAGGCGCGCGAUACAGGGUGACAGCCCCGUACACAAAAAUGCACAUAUUGUGAGCUCGAUGAGUAGGGCGGGACACGUGGUAUCCUGUCUGAAUAUGGGGGGACCAUCCUCCAAGGCUAAAUACUCCUGACUGACCGAUAGUGAACCAGUACCGUGAGGGAAAGGCGAAAAGAACCCCGGCGAGGGGAGUGAAAAAGAACCUGAAACCGUGUACGUACAAGCAGUGGGAGCCUCUUAAUUGGGUGACUGCGUACCUUUUGUAUAAUGGGUCAGCGACUUAUAUUCUGUAGCAAGGUUAACCGAAUAGGGGAGCCGAAGGGAAACCGAGUCUUAACUGGGCGUUAAGUUGCAGGGUAUAGACCCGAAACCCGGUGAUCUAGCCAUGGGCAGGUUGAAGGUUGGGUAACACUAACUGGAGGACCGAACCGACUAAUGUUGAAAAAUUAGCGGAUGACUUGUGGCUGGGGGUGAAAGGCCAAUCAAACCGGGAGAUAGCUGGUUCUCCCCGAAAGCUAUUUAGGUAGCGCCUCGUGAAUUCAUCUCCGGGGGUAGAGCACUGUUUCGGCAAGGGGGUCAUCCCGACUUACCAACCCGAUGCAAACUGCGAAUACCGGAGAAUGUUAUCACGGGAGACACACGGCGGGUGCUAACGUCCGUCGUGAAGAGGGAAACAACCCAGACCGCCAGCUAAGGUCCCAAAGUCAUGGUUAAGUGGGAAACGAUGUGGGAAGGCCCAGACAGCCAGGAUGUUGGCUUAGAAGCAGCCAUCAUUUAAAGAAAGCGUAAUAGCUCACUGGUCGAGUCGGCCUGCGCGGAAGAUGUAACGGGGCUAAACCAUGCACCGAAGCUGCGGCAGCGACACUAUGUGUUGUUGGGUAGGGGAGCGUUCUGUAAGCCUGUGAAGGUGUACUGUGAGGUAUGCUGGAGGUAUCAGAAGUGCGAAUGCUGACAUAAGUAACGAUAAAGCGGGUGAAAAGCCCGCUCGCCGGAAGACCAAGGGUUCCUGUCCAACGUUAAUCGGGGCAGGGUGAGUCGACCCCUAAGGCGAGGCCGAAAGGCGUAGUCGAUGGGAAACAGGUUAAUAUUCCUGUACUUGGUGUUACUGCGAAGGGGGGACGGAGAAGGCUAUGUUGGCCGGGCGACGGUUGUCCCGGUUUAAGCGUGUAGGCUGGUUUUCCAGGCAAAUCCGGAAAAUCAAGGCUGAGGCGUGAUGACGAGGCACUACGGUGCUGAAGCGACAAAUGCCCUGCUUCCAGGAAAAGCCUCUAAGCAUCAGGUAACAUCAAAUCGUACCCCAAACCGACACAGGUGGUCAGGUAGAGAAUACCAAGGCGCUUGAGAGAACUCGGGUGAAGGAACUAGGCAAAAUGGUGCCGUAACUUCGGGAGAAGGCACGCUGAUAUGUAGGUGAAGCGACUUGCUCGUGGAGCUGAAAUCAGUCGAAGAUACCAGCUGGCUGCAACUGUUUAUUAAAAACACAGCACUGUGCAAACACGAAAGUGGACGUAUACGGUGUGACGCCUGCCCGGUGCCGGAAGGUUAAUUGAUGGGGUUAGCGGUAACGCGAAGCUCUUGAUCGAAGCCCCGGUAAACGGCGGCCGUAACUAUAACGGUCCUAAGGUAGCGAAAUUCCUUGUCGGGUAAGUUCCGACCUGCACGAAUGGCGUAAUGAUGGCCAGGCUGUCUCCACCCGAGACUCAGUGAAAUUGAACUCGCUGUGAAGAUGCAGUGUACCCGCGGCAAGACGGAAAGACCCCGUGAACCUUUACUAUAGCUUGACACUGAACAUUGAGCCUUGAUGUGUAGGAUAGGUGGGAGGCUUUGAAGUGUGGACGCCAGUCUGCAUGGAGCCGACCUUGAAAUACCACCCUUUAAUGUUUGAUGUUCUAACGUGGGCCCCUUACCGGGGUUGCGGACAGUGUCUGGUGGGUAGUUUGACUGGGGCGGUCUCCUCCUAAAGAGUAACGGAGGAGCACGAAGGUUGGCUAAUCCUGGUCGGACAUCAGGAGGUUAGUGCAAUGGCAUAAGCCAGCUUGACUGCGAGCGUGACGGCGCGAGCAGGUGCGAAAGCAGGUCAUAGUGAUCCGGUGGUUCUGAAUGGAAGGGCCAUCGCUCAACGGAUAAAAGGUACUCCGGGGAUAACAGGCUGAUACCGCCCAAGAGUUCAUAUCGACGGCGGUGUUUGGCACCUCGAUGUCGGCUCAUCACAUCCUGGGGCUGAAGUAGGUCCCAAGGGUAUGGCUGUUCGCCAUUUAAAGUGGUACGCGAGCUGGGUUUAGAACGUCGUGAGACAGUUCGGUCCCUAUCUGCCGUGGGCGCUGGAGAACUGAGGGGGGCUGCUCCUAGUACGAGAGGACCGGAGUGGACGCAUCACUGGUGUUCGGGUUGUCAUGCCAAUGGCACUGCCCGGUAGCUAAAUGCGGAAGAGAUAAGUGCUGAAAGCAUCUAAGCACGAAACUUGCCCCGAGAUGAGUUCUCCCUGACUCCUUGAGAGUCCUGAAGGAACGUUGAAGACGACGACGUUGAUAGGCCGGGUGUGUAAGCGCAGCGAUGCGUUGAGCUAACCGGUACUAAUGAACCGUGAGGCUUAACCUUACAACGCCGAAG
This 2925-nucleotide ribosomal RNA is filed under the name Escherichia coli O25b:H4. RNAcentral describes it as "23S ribosomal RNA". It matches the Rfam family "Bacterial large subunit ribosomal RNA". The record is from RNAcentral. Lineage: Bacteria; Pseudomonadati; Pseudomonadota; Gammaproteobacteria; Enterobacterales; Enterobacteriaceae.